Molecule: ribosomal RNA, 510 nt
Filed under: uncultured bacterium
Lineage: Bacteria
Description: partial 16S ribosomal RNA
Source: RNAcentral
GGAGUUAGCCGGUGCUUCUUCUGUGAGUGAUGUCCUUCCUGCCGGCUAUUAACCCGCAGGCCUUCUUCCUCACUGAAAGUGCUUUACAACCCGAAGGCCUUCUUCACACACGCGGCAUGGCUGGAUCAGGGUUGCCCCCAUUGUCCAAUAUUCCCCACUGCUGCCUCCCGUAGGAGUCUGGGCCGUGUCUCAGUCCCAGUGUGGCUGAUCAUCCUCUCAGACCAGCUACGGAUCGUCGCCUUGGUGAGCCGUUACCUCACCAACCAGCUAAUCCGACAUAGGCUCAUCCGAUAGCGCGAGGCCCGAAGGUCCCCCGCUUUCCCCCGUAGGGCGUAUGCGGUAUUAGCCUGGGUUUCCCCAGGUUAUCCCCCACUACCGGGCAGAUUCCUAUGCAUUACUCACCCGUCCGCCGCUCGCCACCAGGGAGCAAGCUCCCCGUGCUGCCGCUCGACUUGCAUGUGUUAGCGUCGCCGCCACGCGUUCAUCUGAGCCACUAAUACAACUACUCGA